Molecule: ribosomal RNA, 497 nt
Filed under: uncultured bacterium
Lineage: Bacteria
Description: partial 16S ribosomal RNA
Rfam family: Bacterial small subunit ribosomal RNA
Source: RNAcentral
GACGAACGCUGGCGGCGUGCCUAAUACAUGCAAGUUGAGCGCUGAAGGUUGGUACUUGUCCCGACUGGAUGAGCAGCGAACGGGUGAGUAACGCGUGGGGAAUCUGCCUUUGAGCGGGGGACAACAUUUGGAAACGAAUGCUAAUACCGCAUAAAAACUUUAAACACAAGUUUUAAGUUUGAAAGAUGCAAUUGCAUCACUCAAAGAUGAUCCCGCGUUGUAUUAGCUAGUUGGUGAGGUAAAGGCUCACCAAGGCGAUGAUACAUAGCCGACCUGAGAGGGUGAUCGGCCACAUUGGGACUGAGGCACGGCCCAAACUCCUACGGGAGGCAGCAGUAGGGAAUCUUCGGCAAUGGACGAAAGUCUGACCGAGCAACGCCGCGUGAGUGAAGAAGGUUUUCGGAUCGUAAAACUCUGUUGGUAGAGAAGAACGUUGGUGAGAGUGGAAAGCUCAUCAAGUGACGGUAACUACCCAGAAAGGGACGGCUAACUACGUG